UACGGGGGGGGCAAGCGUUGUUCGGAAUUACUGGGCGUAAAGGGCUCGUAGGUGGCCAACUAAGCCAGACGUGAAAUCCUUCAGCUUAACUGGGGAACUGCGUCUGAUACUGGAUGGCUUGAGUUUGGGAGAGGGAUGCGGAAUUCCAGGUGUAGCGGUGAAAUGCGUAGAUAUCUGGAGGAACACCGGUGGCGAAGGCGGCAUCCUGGACCGGCAUUGACGCUGAGGCGCGAAAGCUAGGGGAGCAAACGGG
RNAcentral lists this ribosomal RNA (253 nucleotides) under uncultured bacterium. RNAcentral's name for it is "partial 16S ribosomal RNA". It matches the Rfam family "Bacterial small subunit ribosomal RNA", at positions 524 to 776 of the family's 1533-position model. The record is from RNAcentral.